CUACGGGGGGCAGCAGUGGGGAAUAUUGGACAAUGGGGGAAACUCUGAUGCAGCAACGCCGCGUGGAGGAUGACACUUUUCGGAGCGUAAACUCCUUUUAUAUAGGAAGAAGAUGACGGUACUAUAUGAAUAAGCGCCGGCUAACUCCGUGCCAGCAGCCGCGGUAAUACGGAGGGCGCAAGCGUUACUCGGAAUCACUGGGCGUAAAGAGCGUGUAGGCGGAUUAAAAAGUCAGAAGUGAAAUCCUAUAGCUUAACUAUAGAACUGCUUCUGAAACUCUUAAUCUAGAAUAUGGGAGAGGUAGAUGGAAUUUCUGGUGUAGGGGUAAAAUCCGUAGAGAUCAGAAGGAAUACCGAUUGCGAAGGCGAUCUACUAGAACAUUAUUGACGCUGAGACGCGAAAGCGUGGGGAGCAAACAGGAUUAGAUACCCCUGUAGUC
This 439-nucleotide ribosomal RNA is filed under the name uncultured bacterium. RNAcentral's name for it is "partial 16S ribosomal RNA". It matches the Rfam family "Bacterial small subunit ribosomal RNA", at positions 339 to 795 of the family's 1533-position model. The record is from RNAcentral.